GGCGGCGUGCUUAACACAUGCAAGUCGAACGAGGUCCAUCCGGUAGCAAUACUGGUGAAGACCUAGUGGCGAACGGGUGCGUAACACGUGAGCAACCUGUCCCGAAGACCGGGAUAACACCGGGAAACCGGUGCUAAUACCGGAUAUCCCCAUCUGAUCGCAUGGUCGGAUGAGGAAAUGGAUUCCGCCUCGGGAGGGGCUCGCGGCCUAUCAGCUUGUUGGUGAGGUAACGGCUCACUAAGGCUCCGACGGGUAGCUGGUCUGAGAGGACGACCAGCCACACUGGGACUGAGACACGGCCCAGACUCCUACGGGAGGCAGCAGUGGGGAAUCUUGCGCAAUGGGCGAAAGCCUGACGCANNAACGCCGCGUGGGGGAUGAAGGCCUUCGGGUUGUAAACCCCUUUCAGCAGGGACGAAAUUGACGGUACCUGCAGAAGAAGCCCCGGCCAACUACGUGCCAGCAGCCGCGGUAAUACGUANGGGGCAAGCGUUGUCCGGAUUUAUUGGGCGUAAAGAGCUCGUAGGCGGCUUAACAAGUCGGGUGUGAAAC
This 552-nucleotide ribosomal RNA is filed under the name uncultured Actinomycetes bacterium. RNAcentral's name for it is "bacterial SSU rRNA". It matches the Rfam family "Bacterial small subunit ribosomal RNA", at positions 38 to 600 of the family's 1533-position model. Lineage: Bacteria; Bacillati; Actinomycetota; Actinomycetes. The record is from RNAcentral.